AUCUCUCUGGAGAUCACUCGUCUUGGAGACCUUUUGGUGAGCCCAGGUUAUGGACAACAUCCAGGGGAAAGAAUAUGCUCUUUUAAAUAGAUUCUCCAGUUUGGAACUUCAAGUGAUCUAGAAAGUCAUUGAAAAGACUUUGUGCUGCGCCCCUCAGAAUGAGGCCCUGGCUUGGAGCCCCAGUUCCAGAGUCCUCUGCUGAGCAGUCAGGCUGCCUCCAAGGUGUGGGCUUCAGGGCUGCAACACUAUGAUGUUUCCUCUUUUCAUAUCUGUAAUGAUUCAGACCUUCCCCUUUGAAGGCAUGUCCCACUGGCUCUGAUUUUCCUUCAGUAGACAUUAAGGGCAGGAUCCAAUUAAGGAAGCUAAAGGAGUGGAGAGCUUUUUUUGCCGGAGGAAACUGUCUUUGAUGAAGUUUGUAUGGACAGUGACUAAAGCUGCAUCUUGCUCCUGAAAUAAAGACAUCUGUCUGGACAAUAAUCCAAGGAUUGAGGAAAGCCAUUGAUGCUCACCACCACUGUGGAACAUCAUAGCAUCUGCAGACUAUAGCUGGUACUCAUCAGAAGGAAAAAAAGAAGGAAGGACACAAAUUGUCUAAUAAGUUUACUACUAUGUGCAGGAGAACCAGUGCAACACAAAAAAAAACAGGUAUUUAUAGACAUUGAUCAGAUCCCCCUCUGAGCCUUCUCAUAUCUAGGAUGUUCAGUUCUGGCGCUCUCAACCUCUCCUCACAGAAGAGCUACACCAGACCCUUCAUUUUACUUGCUCUUUGCUGGAGUCUCAGUACCUCCAGGCCUCCUGGGGAGCCCAGUGUUUAACAGAGAAGGAUGACCACUCAUGCUGCUGGCAACCCUUGGCCUAAUACAGCUAAGAAUGCCAUUAACUUUUUUUCUUUCAGCCAUGAAUAUUGUUAUGCAUAUAAACUAUUUUUGAAAGAGUCUUUUUGGAAAAUGUCUUCAUGCUUCAGGACACAGGUCAAACUCUUAACAAAUGAGACUUAUAAACUUUUCUCCUCUACCAGUUAUGCUAGAUGACUUUAUUUCUGGGUUUUUGCACUUUAUGCUUUUCUGAUGUGGUGCUUCCAGUCCGUUUGUCAUUAGAACACCGUUAACUAUUCUGAUGGCCACAGUACAUCUUUGUGAUGAAAGAAAUGUCUAUAGAGGUUUAUCUGAGUUUCUGAAUAUCUGACAAGACUAGGGAUCAAUAUGAAUUUGUUAUCUUACUAUGAAGACCUCAAAACUGUGUGAAUGGGAAAGCCAUAGUACGAUGACUGAAUGCCAUUUACAAUAUUCUAUUUUCUAGUCUUUUUCUCUGGACAGAAACAAAACAAAAUCAAACCUAAUCAAAACCUAACGUAGUGAACUAGAAGCAAUCACUUGUCCACUGCAUGCAGCACACUAGCUAAAGAAAGCAAAUCAUGAUCUCUAAAUUAGUGUUGACCUAUGCCAGUUGGUCUAGAGUACACAGUGAAAGGGCACAAACAAAUAGCAGAUGUGAUGUGGAAGCAGGAAAAUUGUUGCUGUAUGAGCUCCAGUGUGGCACCAUGUGGUCACGGGAAUGUUGCUUUUGAACCAUCAUCAUUCCUUUAGGGCUAACAUAUAGUGAACAAUUUUGAUAUGUCUUUCAGCCACAGUGUAUGCUAUAAGAAAUAAAAAUGAUAUGUGGGGAGCAG
Long non-coding RNA from Gallus gallus (chicken), 1669 nucleotides. The record is from Ensembl. Lineage: Eukaryota; Metazoa; Chordata; Aves; Galliformes; Phasianidae.